GAUGAACGCUGGCGGCGUGCCUAAUACAUGCAAGUCGAGCGAACAGACGACGAGCUUGCUCCUCUGAUGUUAGCCGCGGAAGGGUGAGUAACAUGUCGAUACCCUACCUACAAGAUUGGGUUAACUUCGGGAAACCGGUGCUAAAACCGGAUACUAUAUUCAACCGCAUGGUUCAAUAGUGAAAGACGGUUUUGCUGUCCUCUCUACAUGGCUCCGCGCUGCAUUAGCUAGUUGGUACGGUAACGGCUUACCAAGGCAACGAUGAGUAGCCGACCUGAGAGGGUGAUCGGCCACACUGGGACUGAGACACGAUUCAGACUCCGACGGGAGGCAGCGGUAGGGAAGCUUCCGCGAUGUGCGGAAGCCUGACGGAGCGGCGCCGCGUGGGUGAUGAAGGGCUUCGGGUCGUAUAACGCUGUUAGUAUGGAAGAACGAAUGUAGAAGGAGCGAUGCUCGUCGUGACGGUACCUGAUCAAAAAGCCACGGCUAACUACGUG
RNAcentral lists this ribosomal RNA (497 nucleotides) under uncultured bacterium. RNAcentral describes it as "partial 16S ribosomal RNA". It matches the Rfam family "Bacterial small subunit ribosomal RNA", at positions 28 to 507 of the family's 1533-position model. The record is from RNAcentral.